GAAUAUGGGGGGACCAUCCUCCAAGGCUAAAUACUCCUGACUGACCGAUAGUGAACCAGUACCGUGAGGGAAAGGCGAAAAGAACCCCGGCGAGGGGAGUGAAAAAGAACCUGAAACCGUGUACGUACAAGCAGUGGGAGCCUCUUAAUGGGGUGACUGCGUACCUUUUGUAUAAUGGGUCAGCGACUUAUAUUCUGUAGCAAGGUUAACCGAAUAGGGGAGCCGAAGGGAAACCGAGUCUUAACUGGGCGUUAAGUUGCAGGGUAUAGACCCGAAACCCGGUGAUCUAGCCAUGGGCAGGUUGAAGGUUGGGUAACACUAACUGGAGGACCGAACCGACUAAUGUUGAAAAAUUAGCGGAUGACUUGUGGCUGGGGGUGAAAGGCCAAUCAAACCGGGAGAUAGCUGGUUCUCCCCGAAAGCUAUUUAGGUAGCGCCUCGUGAAUUCAUCUCCGGGGGUAGAGCACUGUUUCGGCAAGGGGGUCAUCCCGACUUACCAACCCGAUGCAAACUGCGAAUACCGGAGAAUGUUAUCACGGGAGACACACGGCGGGUGCUAACGUCCGUCGUGAAGAGGGAAACAACCCAGACCGCCAGCUAAGGUCCCAAAGUCAUGGUUAAGUGGGAAACGAUGUGGGAAGGCCCAGACAGCCAGGAUGUUGGCUUAGAAGCAGCCAUCAUUUAAAGAAAGCGUAAUAGCUCACUGGUCGAGUCGGCCUGCGCGGAAGAUGUAACGGGGCUAAACCAUGCACCGAAGCUGCGGCAGCGACACUAUGUGUUGUUGGGUAGGGGAGCGUUCUGUAAGCCUGUGAAGGUGUGCUGUGAGGCAUGCUGGAGGUAUCAGAAGUGCGAAUGCUGACAUAAGUAACGAUAAAGCGGGUGAAAAGCCCGCUCGCCGGAAGACCAAGGGUUCCUGUCCAACGUUAAUCGGGGCAGGGUGAGUCGACCCCUAAGGCGAGGCCGAAAGGCGUAGUCGAUGGGAAACAGGUUAAUAUUCCUGUACUUGGUGUUACUGCGAAGGGGGGACGGAGAAGGCUAUGUUGGCCGGGCGACGGUUGUCCCGGUUUAAGCGUGUAGGCUGGUUUUCCAGGCAAAUCCGGAAAACCAAGGCUGAGGCGUGAUGACGAGGCACUACGGUGCUGAAGCGACAAAUGCCCUGCUUCCAGGAAAAGCCUCUAAGCAUCAGGUAACAUCAAAUCGUACCCCAAACCGACACAGGUGGUCAGGUAGAGAAUACCAAGGCGCUUGAGAGAACUCGGGUGAAGGAACUAGGCAAAAUGGUGCCGUAACUUCGGGAGAAGGCACGCUGAUAUGUAGGUGAAGCGACUUGCUCGUGGAGCUGAAAUCAGUCGAAGAUACCAGCUGGCUGCAACUGUUUAUUAAAAACACAGCACUGUGCAAACACGAAAGUGGACGUAUACGGUGUGACGCCUGCCCGGUGCCGGAAGGUUAAUUGAUGGGGUUAGCGGUAACGCGAAGCUCUUGAUCGAAGCCCCGGUAAACGGCGGCCGUAACUAUAACGGUCCUAAGGUAGCGAAAUUCCUUGUCGGGUAAGUUCCGACCUGCACGAAUGGCGUAAUGAUGGCCAGGCUGUCUCCACCCGAGACUCAGUGAAAUUGAACUCGCUGUGAAGAUGCAGUGUACCCGCGGCAAGACGGAAAGACCCCGUGAACCUUUACUAUAGCUUGACACUGAACAUUGAGCCUUGAUGUGUAGGAUAGGUGGGAGGCUUUGAAGUGUGGACGCCAGUCUGCAUGGAGCCGACCUUGAAAUACCACCCUUUAAUGUUUGAUGUUCUAACGUUGGCCCGUAAUCCGGGUUGCGGACAGUGUCUGGUGGGUAGUUUGACUGGGGCGGUCUCCUCCUAAAGAGUAACGGAGGAGCACGAAGGUUGGCUAAUCCUGGUCGGACAUCAGGAGGUUAGUGCAAUGGCAUAAGCCAGCUUGACUGCGAGCGUGACGGCGCGAGCAGGUGCGAAAGCAGGUCAUAGUGAUCCGGUGGUUCUGAAUGGAAGGGCCAUCGCUCAACGGAUAAAAGGUACUCCGGGGAUAACAGGCUGAUACCGCCCAAGAGUUCAUAUCGACGGCGGUGUUUGGCACCUCGAUGUCGGCUCAUCACAUCCUGGGGCUGAAGUAGGUCCCAAGGGUAUGGCUGUUCGCCAUUUAAAGUGGUACGCGAGCUGGGUUUAGAACGUCGUGAGACAGUUCGGUCCCUAUCUGCCGUGGGCGCUGGAGAACUGAGGGGGGCUGCUCCUAGUACGAGAGGACCGGAGUGGACGCAUCACUGGUGUUCGGGUUGUCAUGCCAAUGGCACUGCCCGGUAGCUAAAUGCGGAAGAGAUAAGUGCUGAAAGCAUCUAAGCACGAAACUUGCCC
Molecule: ribosomal RNA, 2374 nt
Filed under: Escherichia coli
Lineage: Bacteria; Pseudomonadati; Pseudomonadota; Gammaproteobacteria; Enterobacterales; Enterobacteriaceae
Description: partial 23S ribosomal RNA
Rfam family: Bacterial large subunit ribosomal RNA
Source: RNAcentral